This 425-nucleotide ribosomal RNA is filed under the name uncultured bacterium. RNAcentral describes it as "partial 16S ribosomal RNA". It matches the Rfam family "Bacterial small subunit ribosomal RNA", at positions 354 to 796 of the family's 1533-position model. The record is from RNAcentral.
GUGGGGAAUCUUAGACAAUGGGCGCAAGCCUGAUCUAGCCAUGCCGCGUGAGCGAUGAAGGCCUUAGGGUUGUAAAGCUCUUUCAGUGGGGAAGAUAAUGACUGUACCCACAGAAGAAGCCCCGGCUAACUCCGUGCCAGCAGCCGCGGUAAUACGGAGGGGGCUAGCGUUGUUCGGAAUUACUGGGCGUAAAGCGCACGUAGGCGGAUCAGAAAGUCAGAGGUGAAAUCCCAGGGCUCAACCUUGGAACUGCCUUUGAAACUCCUGAUCUUGAGGUCGAGAGAGGUGAGUGGAAUUCCGAGUGUAGAGGUGAAAUUCGUAGAUAUUCGGAGGAACACCAGUGGCGAAGGCGGCUCACUGGCUCGAUACUGACGCUGAGGUGCGAAAGCGUGGGGAGCAAACAGGAUUAGAAACCCGGGUAGUCC